ACUUCCUGUAGCUGGAGCCACCAGCUGAGUUCCUCAUUUGGGGCUUGGUUGAGUUGGGCUUCGGGGUGUUGGUGGCAGCGCUGAGGGACCCCUGGCUGCCCCCAUCAUGGCAUCUGCUCUCACCGUCCUCUUCCUCGGCUGCUGGCUGGCCGAGCACAGAGGGGUUUGGGGAGGGCAUGAAUACUCCAAACCCCCCAUUUGGGUGAGCCCCAGCAGGGUGGUGGUGCUCAGGGGAAGCGUCACCAUCCGCUGUGAGGGUUUGUACCCGGGCAUGGAGUUCUUUCUGCGUAAAACUGGACAACCGAACC
Molecule: non-coding RNA, 308 nt
Organism: Chrysemys picta bellii (western painted turtle)
Lineage: Eukaryota; Metazoa; Chordata; Testudines; Emydidae
Source: RefSeq, a predicted model, not a curated record